GUGCAACCUGCAGACAGAAAUCACUAAACAAUAGUUACAGAGAAUCCUCCUCAACAAAGCAUAUGUAUUAUUGGUAAUAUUUACGCAGGCUCAUUUAUACAGGGAUAUUUACAGCCAAAAUAUUGAGAAUAUGUAUUCCUCUCACAUUGUAACUUUUAAAUGCAACUCAUUGAACAUAUGAUUAAACAGAUCACUCGCAAAUUCAUUAUUAACUGAUACAAGGGCGCCAUGGCCAGAAAACAACAUUCACUUUUAGGCAUAUUAUAUCUUUAACUUAAAAGAUGCUGCAUAAAGGACAAUAUAAGUCAAGAAACUUGCCUGUUCUGCGAUGAAAUCCAUAG
RNAcentral lists this unclassified non-coding RNA (341 nucleotides) under Hevea brasiliensis (rubber tree). The record is from RNAcentral. Lineage: Eukaryota; Viridiplantae; Streptophyta; Magnoliopsida; Malpighiales; Euphorbiaceae.